Non-coding RNA from Paramuricea clavata, 964 nucleotides. Lineage: Eukaryota; Metazoa; Cnidaria; Anthozoa; Malacalcyonacea; Plexauridae. The record is from the annotation of a GenBank genome assembly.
UUGUAGUAUAACUUUUGUUAUUGUUAUUGUUAUUAGUAUAGGGAACCAUAACAGUAUAAUUCUAUGUGUUAUAUGAUUUGGGUAAAUUUGGUCGUAAAGUUAUCAUCACAUAGCUUUUACCAAUAUGUAUUAUCACAAUGAUCACAUUUAAACAUUGUUGCCACAAAAGUGCUUAUAAAGAAAAAAAUUACAUUAAUUAACUAAUUGUGUCUCAACACUAUCACCUUUUUACUGAUUGGGGCUUAUUGGGGCUUGGUACCCUGGAUAGAGCACAAUUACGAAUUCAACAUGACACCGCUAUUGGUGAAACGAUUAAUAAUAAUUUGGUUACUCUUAGUGUGCACCAGACAUCGUAAAAUCAAAGUCCUCUUAGUUACAGUAUGUAGAAAGUUGUUUCAUUUGUCUGGCUGUCAAAGUACAUGCAUGCAUGUACUGUAGUUAUACAGCCACCCACUUCGUCAACACAACUACCUACUGGCCCAGCCCUAGGCACAGAGUAAUUACAUACAUAGGUCACUUCAGGUUAAUUUAGCGUAAGCGCCAUGUUCUUAGCAAGUGCCCUAAAGACAAGCCGUCACUCCCCUGAAAACAUAUUGAAAUGUAAUGUUCCAUGCAAGGGAGUGAAUCAGCAUGGGCGUACCGGAAGGAAAAAAUUAGGGGGGCGGAAAGAAAAUUGCCCGACUUUUCGGGAUUCUGCCCGACUAGUACCAUUAUUUUGGCGACCUCCCCCCCCCCGUCGCCAAAAAAAUUUCGGUCAGUGUACCAUUUUAGGGGUCAAAAAAAUUUUCCGGACAACCAAAAUGUUUCGGAACAUAACACAAAUUUUCGAAAAGUCACAUAAUUUGCCAAAAAAUUGACUUAAUUUUAGACAAAAUUGACUGAAUUUGUCGCAUUUUUUUUAUUGCAAACCAAAAUUGCCCGACUGUUGAUCGAAUAUUGCCCGACUGCCCAAAAAACUGGGGGG